AGAGUUUGAUCAUGGCUCAGAUUGAACGCUGGCGGCAUGCCUUACACAUGCAAGUCGAACGGUAACAGGUCUUCGGAUGCUGACGAGUGGCGAACGGGUGAGUAAUACAUCGGAACGUGCCCGAUCGUGGGGGAUAACGAGGCGAAAGCUUUGCUAAUACCGCAUACGAUCUACGGAUGAAAGCGGGGGAUCUUCGGACCUCGCGCGGACGGAGCGGCCGAUGGCAGAUUAGGUAGUUGGUGGGAUAAAAGCUUACCAAGCCGACGAUCUGUAGC
RNAcentral lists this ribosomal RNA (275 nucleotides) under uncultured Diaphorobacter sp. RNAcentral's name for it is "partial 16S ribosomal RNA". It matches the Rfam family "Bacterial small subunit ribosomal RNA", at positions 8 to 287 of the family's 1533-position model. Lineage: Bacteria; Pseudomonadati; Pseudomonadota; Betaproteobacteria; Burkholderiales; Comamonadaceae. The record is from RNAcentral.